RNAcentral lists this ribosomal RNA (232 nucleotides) under uncultured bacterium. Its description in RNAcentral is "partial 16S ribosomal RNA". It matches the Rfam family "Bacterial small subunit ribosomal RNA", at positions 15 to 235 of the family's 1533-position model. The record is from RNAcentral.
GAUCAUGGCUCAGGAUGAACGCUAGCGACAGGCCUAACACAUGCAAGUCGAGGGGCAGCGAAGAGGUAGCAAUACCUCUGUCGGCGACCCGGCGCACGGGUGAGUAACACGUAUGCAAUCCACCUGUAACAGGGGGAUAACCCGGAGAAAUCCGGACUAAUACCCCAUAAUAUGGGCGCUCCGCAUGGAGAGCCCAUUAAAGAGAGCAAUUUUGGUUACAGACGAGCAUGCG